RNAcentral lists this transfer RNA (72 nucleotides) under Camelus bactrianus (Bactrian camel). It matches the Rfam family "tRNA". From Rfam's summary of the family: Transfer RNA (tRNA) molecules are approximately 80 nucleotides in length. Their secondary structure includes four short double-helical elements and three loops (D, anti-codon, and T loops). Further hydrogen bonds mediate the characteristic L-shaped molecular structure. tRNAs have two regions of fundamental functional importance: the anti-codon, which is responsible for specific mRNA codon recognition, and the 3' end, to which the tRNAs corresponding amino acid is attached (by aminoacyl-tRNA synthetases). tRNAs cope with the degeneracy of the genetic code in two manners: having more than one tRNA (with a specific anti-codon) for a particular amino acid; and 'wobble' base-pairing, i.e. permitting non-standard base-pairing at the 3rd anti-codon position. RNAcentral also lists the same sequence under 2 other names. Lineage: Eukaryota; Metazoa; Chordata; Mammalia; Artiodactyla; Camelidae. The record is from Rfam by way of RNAcentral.
GAGGGUAUAGCUCAGAAGUAGAGUGCAUGCCUAGCAAGCAUGAGGUCCUGGGUUCAGUCCCCAGUACCUCUG